AGGAUGAACGCUGGCGGCGUGCCUAACACAUGCAAGUCGAACGUCCUGUCUCGCAAGAGGCAGGGAGUGGCGGACGGGUGAGUACCACGUGGGUCAUCUACCGUGAGGUGAGGAAUACCGGCGAGAAAUCGCCGACAAGACCGCAUAGGCUCGAUGCAAGUCGAGCAAAGCUCUUUCGAGAGAGGGAGCGCCACACGAGGAGCCUGCGCCCGAUUAGCUAGCUGGUGGAGUAACGGUUCACCAGGGCGACGAUCGGUAGCUGGUCUGAGAGGACGAUCAGCCACACUGGGAUUGAGAACGGCCCAGACUCCUACGGGGGGCAGCAGUGAGGAAUUUUCGUCAAUGGGGGCAACCCUGAACGAGCAACGCCGCGUGCAGGAAGAAGGUUUUCGGAUCGUAAACUGCUUUUCUCGGGAAGAGAACGGACGGUACCCGAGGAAUCGAGCCCCGGCUAACUACGCGCCAGCAGCCGCGGU
RNAcentral lists this ribosomal RNA (476 nucleotides) under uncultured bacterium. Its description in RNAcentral is "SSU rRNA". It matches the Rfam family "Bacterial small subunit ribosomal RNA", at positions 26 to 521 of the family's 1533-position model. The record is from RNAcentral.